RNAcentral lists this ribosomal RNA (467 nucleotides) under uncultured bacterium. Its description in RNAcentral is "partial 16S ribosomal RNA". It matches the Rfam family "Bacterial small subunit ribosomal RNA", at positions 28 to 506 of the family's 1533-position model. The record is from RNAcentral.
GACGAACGCUGGCGGCGUGCUUAACACAUGCAAGUCGAACGGAAAGGCCCUGCUUUUGUGGGGUGCUCGAGUGGCGAACGGGUGAGUAACACGUGAGUAACCUGCCCUUGACUUUGGGAUAACUUCAGGAAACUGGGGCUAAUACCGGAUAGGAGCUCCUGCUGCAUGGUGGGGGUUGGAAAGUUUCGGCGGCUGGGGAUGGACUCGCGGCUUAUCAGCUUGUUGGUGGGGUAGUGGCUUACCAAGGCUUUGACGGGUAGCCGGCCUGAGAGGGUGACCGGCCACAUUGGGACUGAGAGACGGCCCAGACUCCUACGGGAGGCAGCAGUGGGGAAUAUUGCACAAUGGGCGGAAGCCUGAUGCAGCAACGCCGCGUGCGGGAUGACGGCCUUCGGGUUGUAAACCGCUUUCGCCUGUGACGAAGCGUGAGUGACGGGAAUGGGUAAAGAAGCACCGGCGAACUACGU